ACUGAGGUCAUGGACGCACACUGAGCUGC
Molecule: non-coding RNA, 29 nt
Filed under: Homo sapiens (human)
Lineage: Eukaryota; Metazoa; Chordata; Mammalia; Primates; Hominidae
Source: RNAcentral